RNAcentral lists this microRNA precursor (55 nucleotides) under Octopus vulgaris (common octopus). RNAcentral's name for it is "Ovu-Mir-12586_pre stem-loop". RNAcentral also lists the same sequence under 1 other name. The record is from RNAcentral. Lineage: Eukaryota; Metazoa; Mollusca; Cephalopoda; Octopoda; Octopodidae.
UCCUGCGGCGUUUCUGACAGAAAAAAUAGUGUUUUUGCCGAUUGGCCGCAGAGGU